CCUACGGGUGGCAGCAGUGGGGGAUAUUGCACAAUGGGGGGAACCCUGAUGCAGCGACGCCGCGUGGGUGAAGGAGCGUUUCGGCGCGUAAAGCCCUAUCGGCAGGGAAGAAGAUGACGGUACCUGACCAAGAAGCCCCGGCUAACUACGUGCCAGCAGCCGCGGUAAUACGUAGGGGGCAAGCGUUAUCCGGAUUUAUUGGGUUUAAAGGGUGCGCAGGCGGAAGAUCAAGUCAGCGGUAAAAUUGAGAGGCUCAACCUCUUCGAGCCGUUGAAACUGGUUUUCUUGAGUGAGCGAGAAGUAUGCGGAAUGCGUGGUGUAGCGGUGAAAUGCAUAGAUAUCACGCAGAACUCCGAUUGCGAAGGCAGCAUACCGGCGCUCAACUGACGCUCAUGCACGAAAGUGUGGGUAUCGAACAGGAUUAGAUACCCGAGUAGUC
RNAcentral lists this ribosomal RNA (439 nucleotides) under uncultured bacterium. RNAcentral's name for it is "partial 16S ribosomal RNA". It matches the Rfam family "Bacterial small subunit ribosomal RNA", at positions 338 to 795 of the family's 1533-position model. The record is from RNAcentral.